GAUGAACGCUGGCGGCGUGCCUAAUACAUGCAAGUCGAGCGAACAGACUAGGAGCUUGCUCCUCUGACGUUAGCUGCGGACGGGUGAGUAACACGUGGAUAACCUACCUAUAAGACUGGGAUAACUUCGGGAAACCGUAGCUAAUACCGGAUAAUAUAUUGAACCGCAUGGUUCAAUAGUGAAAGACGGUUUUGCUCUCAUUUAUAGAUGGAUCCGCGCCUAAUUAGCUAGUUGGUAAGGUAAGGGCUUACAAAGGCAACGAUGCGUAGCCGACCUGAGAGGGUGAUCGGCCACACUGGAACUGAGACACGGCCCAGACUCCUACGGGAGGCGGCAGUAGGGAAUCUUCCGAAAUGGGCGAAAGCCUGACGGAGAAACGCCGCGUGAGUGAUGAAGGUCUUCGGAUCGUAAAACUCUGUUAUUAGGGAAGAACAAAUGUGUAAGGAACUAUGCACGUCGUGACGGUACCUAAUCAGAAAGCCACGGCUAACUACGUG
This 497-nucleotide ribosomal RNA is filed under the name uncultured bacterium. RNAcentral describes it as "partial 16S ribosomal RNA". It matches the Rfam family "Bacterial small subunit ribosomal RNA", at positions 28 to 507 of the family's 1533-position model. The record is from RNAcentral.